GACGAACGCUGGCGGCGUGCUUAACACAUGCAAGUCGAACGGAAAGGCCCUGCUUUUGUGGGGUGCUCGAGUGGCGAACAGGUGAGUAACACGUGAGUAACCUGCCCUUGACUUUGGGAUAACUUCAGGAAACUGGGGCUAAUACCGGAUAGGAGCUCCUGCUGCAUGGUGGGGGUUGGAAAGUUUCGGCGGUUGGGGAUGGACUCGCGGCUUAUCAGCUUGUUGGUGGGGUAGUGGCUUACCAAGGCUUUGACGGGUAGCCGGCCUGAGAGGGUGACCGGCCACAUUGGGACUGAGAUACGGCCCAGACUCCUACGGGAGGCAGCAGUGGGGAAUAUUGCACAAUGGGCGGAAGCCUGAUGCAGCAACGCCGCGUGCGGGAUGACGGCCUUCGGGUUGUAAACCGCUUUCGCCUGUGACGAAGCGUGAGUGACGGUAAUGAGUAAAGAAGCACCGGCUAACUACGUG
This 468-nucleotide ribosomal RNA is filed under the name uncultured bacterium. RNAcentral describes it as "partial 16S ribosomal RNA". It matches the Rfam family "Bacterial small subunit ribosomal RNA", at positions 28 to 507 of the family's 1533-position model. The record is from RNAcentral.